Molecule: ribosomal RNA, 463 nt
Filed under: uncultured bacterium
Lineage: Bacteria
Description: bacterial SSU rRNA
Rfam family: Bacterial small subunit ribosomal RNA
Source: RNAcentral
GCGAACGCUGGCGGCAGGCCUAACACAUGCAAGUCGAACGAGGUCCAUGGAGCUUGCUCCGGAAGAUCUAGUGGCGAACGGGUGCGUAACACGUGAGAAACCUGCCCCGAUCUCUGGGAUAACAGUUGGAAACGACUGCUAAUACCGGAUGCCGUCACACCGCUUCAUGGCGGAGUGCCGAAAGAUUCAUCGGAUCGGGAGGGUCUCGCGGCCUAUCAGCUAGUUGGAGAGGUAACGGCUCACCAAGGCAUCGACGGGUAGCUGGUCUGAGAGGAUGAUCAGCCACACUGGGACUGAGACACGGCCCAGACUCCUACGGGAGGCAGCAGUGGGGAAUCUUGCACAAUGGGCGAAAGCCUGAUGCAGCAACGCCGCGUGCGGGAAGAAGGCCCUAGGGUUGUAAACCGCUUUCAGUAGGGAAGAAAAUGACGGUACCUACAGAAGAAGGUGCGGCCAACUACGU